This 1122-nucleotide long non-coding RNA is filed under the name Chinchilla lanigera (long-tailed chinchilla). RNAcentral's name for it is "lncRNA (ENSCLAG00000023451.1)". The record is from RNAcentral. Lineage: Eukaryota; Metazoa; Chordata; Mammalia; Rodentia; Chinchillidae.
AUGCGAGAUCCCUGGCCAGGAGCCCUGCCAAGCAGCAACAGAGAGGGCGUGGCAGGGAAGCAGGAAGCAGUUUCCCCAGCAGCCCGGGAAGGAAUGAGGAGCAGCUUUGUGACCACCACUCCCUCAAACCCAGGACUCUGGUACACAUGCUCCAGAACCCAAGUACCCGUAUGUCAGUGCCCUGCAGCUAGUGCUGCAUGCCCGGAGAAGGGACGGGACCAAACCACAGCCAGGCCUUGGACGGAGAGACCAGAGCAGAGGCCGGCGUGGUGCUGGAUUGGGCCGUGACAGACUUCCUCCCCGCGGAGCCCUCUGGAAUGCUUGGAACUCAGCGGUGACAGUCCAGAAGUUUCUCUUUCCCUGGAGGGCUCUGGCUUGGAGGGAAAGGUCUAGAUAAGGGCCUGAGCUUUAUCUUUCCUCCACCCCGCCUCUCCUGUCCCGAGGACUUCACGUACGCCAAGGGCGGAACAAUGACUCUGGGACGUUUGGCUACCCUGGUCAGCCUGCCCACUUCCUGUCCCUGUCCCUGCCCCGGGAUUAAGGAAAACAACUACUUCUUAUGUUUAGAUAGCUCUCGGCGGUACACAAUGGGUGCUCAUAAACGUGCCCUCGCUAAAAAUGUCUCCUCCCGCCCAAAAUAAAUACAUCAAAAUAAAAAUGUCUUCCCCCACGCCUCACUGCUCAGGUAGGACUCACUGUCUCCCUUCCCAGGUAGCUCCGUCAGCACCUGUGACUCAGCCGCGGUUGUUAUUUGCUGCGUGUUUUCUGGUCACUCUGUGCUGAGUACUUUCCAUGUGAUCAUCUUUCUGUCUCCUGUCAGCCCUGGUGGGUGGUUACUAUAAUUAUCUCCCUUUACAGAUCAGGAAGCUGCAGCCCACAGGGAAAGCGAGGCGCCCCUCAGCAGCAAGCGGUCCUCAGCUGGAGCCGGGAUUCCAGCUCAGCCUGCACGCCUCCAAGCAGCGCGCUGUUUCCCAUCACACAACACUCGUCUUAGCAUUAUCAAGAGGCCAAGGGGAGGGCUGGGGAUUUAGCUCAGCGGCACAGUGCCUGCCUGGCAAGCACGAGGUCGUGAAUUCGCUUCCGAGUACCAGAAAAAAACCAAAAAAAAAAAAAAAAGACCAA